This 19-nucleotide small nuclear RNA is filed under the name Arabidopsis thaliana (thale cress). Its description in RNAcentral is "snRNA_04591". The record is from RNAcentral. Lineage: Eukaryota; Viridiplantae; Streptophyta; Magnoliopsida; Brassicales; Brassicaceae.
CGAUUAAGACAGCAGGACG